RNAcentral lists this ribosomal RNA (254 nucleotides) under uncultured bacterium. Its description in RNAcentral is "partial 16S ribosomal RNA". It matches the Rfam family "Archaeal small subunit ribosomal RNA", at positions 474 to 728 of the family's 1478-position model. The record is from RNAcentral.
UACCAGCACCCCGAGUGGUCGGGACGUUUAUUGGGCCUAAAGCAUCCGUAGCCGGUUCUACAAGUCUUCCGUUAAAUCCAGCUGCUUAACAGAUGGGCUGCGGAAGAUACUAUGGAGCUAGGAGGCGGGAGAGGCAAGCGGUACUCGAUGGGUAGGGGUAAAAUCCGUUGAUCCAUUGAAGACCACCAGUGGCGAAGGCGGCUUGCCAGAACGCGCCCGACGGUGAGGGAUGAAAGCUGGGGGAGCAAACGGGG